This 1010-nucleotide ribosomal RNA is filed under the name uncultured bacterium. RNAcentral describes it as "bacterial SSU rRNA". It matches the Rfam family "Bacterial small subunit ribosomal RNA", at positions 9 to 995 of the family's 1533-position model. The record is from RNAcentral.
GAGUUUGAUCCUGGCUCAGAAUCAACGCUGGCGGCGUGCCUCAGACAUGCAAGUCGAACGCGAAAGUUCCCUUCGGGGAGCAAGUAGAGUGGCGCACGGGUGAGUAACACGUAGGUAGUCUACCUUUGGAUGGGGAAUAACAAUCGGAAACGAUUGCUAAUACCGCAUAAUGCAGCGGCACCUAAUGGUGACAGUUGUUAAAGCGGGGGAUCGAAAGACCUCGCGUCUAAAGAGGAGCCUGCGGCAGAUUAGCUAGUUGGUAAGGUAAUGGCUUACCAAGGCGAUGAUCUGUAACCGGCCUGAGAGGGCGGUCGGUCACACUGACACUGACAUACGGGUCAGACUCCUACGGGAGGCAGCAGUCGGGAAUUUUGGGCAAUGGGCGAAAGCCUGACCCAGCAACGCCGCGUGAAGGAUGAAAUCCCUCGGGAUGUAAACUUCGCAAGAACAGGAAGAAUAAGUAUGGGUUAAUAUCCCUUACGAUGACGGUACUGUUUGUAAGCUCCGGCUAACUCCGUGCCAGCAGCCGCGGUAAUACGGGGGGAGCAAGCGUUGUUCGGAUUUACUGGGCGUAAAGGGCGCGUAGGCGGCCACCGCAAGUCGGUUGUGAAAUCUCCGGGCUUAACCCGGAAAGGUCAACCGAUACUGCGGGGCUAGAGUGCAGAAGGGGCAACUGGAAUUCUCGGUGUAGCGGUGAAAUGCGUAGAUAUCGAGAGGAACACCUGCGGCGAAGGCGGGUUGCUGGGCUGACACUGACGCUGAGGCGCGAAAGCUAGGGGAGCGAACGGGAUUAGAUACCCCGGUAGUCCUAGCCUUAAACGAUGAAUGCUUGGUGUCUGGGGUUUUAUAGUCCCCGGGUGCCGUCGCUAACGCUUUAAGCAUUCCGCCUGGGGAGUACGGUCGCAAGACUGAAACUCAAAGGAAUUGACGGGGACCCGCACAAGCGGUGGAGCAUGUGGUUUAAUUCGACGCAACGCGAAGAACCUUACCUGGGCUAGAAUGCCCGUGAC